This 512-nucleotide ribosomal RNA is filed under the name uncultured bacterium. RNAcentral describes it as "partial 16S ribosomal RNA". It matches the Rfam family "Bacterial small subunit ribosomal RNA", at positions 28 to 507 of the family's 1533-position model. The record is from RNAcentral.
GAUGAACGCUGGCGGCGUGCCUAAUACAUGCAAGUCGAACGAAACUUCUUUAUCACCGAGUGCUUGCACUCACCGAUAAAGAGUUGAGUGGCGAACGGGUGAGUAACACGUGGGCAACCUGCCCAAAAGAGGGGGAUAACACGUGGAAACAGGUGCUAAUACCGCAUAACCAUAGUUACCGCAUGGUAACUAUGUAAAAGGUGGCUAUACUACCGCUUUUGGAUGGGCCCGCGGCGCAUUAGCUAGUUGGUAGGGGAAAGGCUUACCAAGGCAAUGAUGCGUAGCCGAAUUGAGAGGUUGAUCGGCCACAUUGGGACUGAGACACGGCCCAAACUCCUACGGGAGGCAGCAGUAGGGAAUCUUCCACAAUGGGCGAAAGCCUGAUGGAGCAACGCCGCGUGGGUGAAGAAGGUCUUCGGAUCGUAAAACCCUGUUGUUAGAGAAGAAAGUGCGUGAGAGUAACUGUUCACGUUUCGACGGUAUCUAACCAGAAAGCCACGGCUAACUACGUG